UACAGAGGUGGCAAGCGUUGUUCGGAAUUACUGGGCGUAAAGGGCGCGUAGGCGGCCUUCUAAGUCAGACGUGAAAUCCCCCGGCUUAACCUGGGAACUGCGUCUGAUACUGGAAGGCUUGAGUGCGGGAGAGGGAUGUGGAAUUCCAGGUGUAGCGGUGAAAUGCGUAGAUAUCUGGAGGAACACCGGUGGCGAAGGCGGGUCUCUGGGCCGAUACUGACGCUGAGGAGCGAAAGCGUGGGGAGCAAACAGG
This 253-nucleotide ribosomal RNA is filed under the name uncultured bacterium. RNAcentral's name for it is "partial 16S ribosomal RNA". It matches the Rfam family "Bacterial small subunit ribosomal RNA", at positions 524 to 776 of the family's 1533-position model. The record is from RNAcentral.